Molecule: ribosomal RNA, 440 nt
Filed under: uncultured bacterium
Lineage: Bacteria
Description: partial 16S ribosomal RNA
Rfam family: Bacterial small subunit ribosomal RNA
Source: RNAcentral
CCUACGGGUGGCAGCAGUAGGGAAUAUUGCUCAAUGGGGGAAACCCUGAAGCAGCAACGCCGCGUGGGGGAUGAAGGUUUUCGGAUUGUUAAAUCCUUUUGUUAGAGGAGAUAAUGACGGUAUCCAUCGACUAAGGACUGUCUCACUACGUGCCAGCAGCCGUGGUAAUAUGGAGGGUGCCACCGUUACUCGGAGUCACUGGGCGUAAUGCGCGCGUAGGCGGGAUAGCAAGUCAGAUGUGAAAUCCUAUGGGUUAACCCUAGAACUGCAGUUGAAACUGUUAGUCUAGAGUAUGAGAGAGGUAGGUGGAAUGCGUGGUGUAGGGGUAAAAUGCGUAGAGAUCAAGAGGAAUACUCAUUGCGAAGGCGACCUGCUAGAUCAUAACUGACGCUGAGGCGCGAAAGCGUGGGGAGCGAACAGGAUUAGAUACCCCUGUAGUC